AUAUAUAUAUAUAUAUAUAUAUAUAUAUAUAUAUAUAUAUAUAUAUACACACACACACAUAUAUAUAUGUAUAUAUAUAUACACACAUAUAUAUAAUAUGUAUAUUAUAUA
Molecule: microRNA precursor, 111 nt
Filed under: Pteropus vampyrus (large flying fox)
Lineage: Eukaryota; Metazoa; Chordata; Mammalia; Chiroptera; Pteropodidae
Description: miRNA (ENSPVAG00000026724.1)
Source: RNAcentral